GAUGAACGCUGACAGAAUGCUUAACACAUGCAAGUCUUUGGCGAAGCUGUGCUUGCACAGCCUAGCCAAGGCGGACGGGAGAGUAACGCGUAAGGAACUUGCCCUGCAGUCAGGGAUAACAGACGGAAACGACUGAUAAGACCAGGAAAAGUUAGGCGGACUCAUGUCCAGCCUGAUGAAAAGAGAGGCUGCAGGAGAGGCUUGCGUCCUAUUAGCUUGUUGGUGGGGUAAUGGGCCACGAAGAGGAUGAUAGGUAGCCGGCCUGAGAGGGUGGACGGCCACAAGGGGACUGAGAGACGGCCGUUACUCCUACGGGAGGCAGCGGUGGGGAAUGUUGGACAAUGGGGGCAACUGUGAUCCAGCAAUUCUGUGUGCACGAUGAAGGUUUUCGGAUUGAAAAGUGCUAUCAGCAGGGAAGAAAAAAAUGACGGUACCUUCAGAAGAAGCGACGGCUAAAUACGUG
Molecule: ribosomal RNA, 463 nt
Filed under: uncultured bacterium
Lineage: Bacteria
Description: partial 16S ribosomal RNA
Rfam family: Bacterial small subunit ribosomal RNA
Source: RNAcentral